This 378-nucleotide unclassified non-coding RNA is filed under the name plant metagenome. RNAcentral describes it as "partial contains 5.8S ribosomal RNA, internal transcribed spacer 2, and large subunit ribosomal RNA". The stretch from base 1 to 105 matches the Rfam family "5.8S ribosomal RNA", at positions 50 to 154 of the family's 154-position model. The record is from RNAcentral.
GAAAUGCGAUAAGUAAUGUGAAUUGCAGGAUUCAGUGAAUCAUCGAAUCUUUGAACGCACCUUGCGCUCCUUGGUAUUCCUUGGAGCAUGCCUGUUUGAGUAUCAUGAAAUCUUCAAAGUAAAUCUUUUGUUAACUCAAUUGGUUUCUACUUUGGUAUUGGAGGUCUUUGCAGCUUCACACUUGCUCCUCUUUGUUCAUUAGCUGGAUCUCAGUGUUAUGCUUGGUUCCACUCGGCGUGAUAAGUUAUCUAUCGCUGAGGACACUGUAAAAGGUGGCCAAGGUAAAUGCAGAUGAACCGCUUCUAAUAGUCCAUUGACUUGGACAAUACUUUUAUGAUCUGAUCUCAAAUCAGGUAGGACUACCCGCUGAACUUAAGC